RNAcentral lists this ribosomal RNA (732 nucleotides) under Enterobacter sp. Its description in RNAcentral is "bacterial SSU rRNA". It matches the Rfam family "Bacterial small subunit ribosomal RNA", at positions 70 to 799 of the family's 1533-position model. The record is from RNAcentral. Lineage: Bacteria; Pseudomonadati; Pseudomonadota; Gammaproteobacteria; Enterobacterales; Enterobacteriaceae.
AGUACCUGGCUACUUUGCCGGCGAGCGGCAGAGGGGUGAGUAGUGUCGGGGAAACUGCCUGAUGGAGGGGGAUAACUACUGGAAACGGUAUCUAAUACCGCAUAAUGUCACAAGACCAAAGAGGGGGACCUUCGGGCCUCUUGCCCUCAUAUGUGCCCAUAUGGGAUUAUCUAGUAUGUGGGGUAAUGGCUCACCUACGCGACUAUCCCUAUCUGGUCUGAGAAGAUGACCACCCACUCUGGAACUGACACACGGUCCACACUCCUACGGGAGGCAGCAGUGGGGAAUAUUGCACAGUGGGCGCAAGCCUGAUGCACCCGUGCCGCGUGUAUGAAGAGGGCCUUCGGGUUGUAAAGUACUUUCCGCGGGGAAGAAGGUGUUGAGGUUAAUACCCUCAACAUUUGACGUUACCCGCAAAAAAAGCACCGGCUAACUCCGUGCCAGCACCCGCGGUAAUACAGAGGGUGCAAGCGUUAAUCAAAAUUACUGGGCGUAAAGCGCACGCGCGCGGUCUGUCAUGUCAGAUGUGAUAUCCCCGGUCUCACCCUGGGAACUGCACUCAAAACUGGCGCGCUAGACUCGUGUAGAGGGGUGUAGAAUUCCAUGUGUAGCGGUGAUAUGCAUAGAUAUCUAGAAGAAUACCUGUCGCGAACGCCGCCCCCUGCACAAACACUGACUCUCAUGUGCGAACGCGUGGAGAGCACACAAGAUGAUAUACUCUGAUACUCCACG